GACGAACGCUGGCGGCGUGCUUAACACAUGCAAGUCGAACGGAAAGGCCCUGCUUUUGUGGGGUGCUCGAGUGGCGAACGGGUGAGUAACACGUGAGUAACCUGCCCUUGACUUUGGGAUAACUUCAGGAAACUGUGGCUAAUACCGGAUAGGAGCUCCUGCUGCAUGGUGGGGGUUGGAAAGUUUCGGCGGUUGGGGAUGGACUCGCGGCUUAUCAGCUUGUUGGUGGGGUAGUGGCUUACCAAGGCUUUGUCGGGUAGCCGGCCUGAGUGGGUGACCGGCCACCUUGGGACUGAGCUACGGCCCAGACUCCUACGGGAGGCAGCAGUGGGGAAUAUUGCACAAUGGGCGGAAGCCUGAUGCAGCAACGCCGCGUGCGGGAUGACGGCCUUCGGGUUGUAAACCGCUUUCGCCUGUGACGAAGCGUGAGUGACGGUAAUGGGUAAAGAAGCACCGGCUAACUACGUG
This 468-nucleotide ribosomal RNA is filed under the name uncultured bacterium. Its description in RNAcentral is "partial 16S ribosomal RNA". It matches the Rfam family "Bacterial small subunit ribosomal RNA", at positions 28 to 507 of the family's 1533-position model. The record is from RNAcentral.